Molecule: ribosomal RNA, 349 nt
Filed under: uncultured bacterium
Lineage: Bacteria
Description: SSU rRNA
Rfam family: Bacterial small subunit ribosomal RNA
Source: RNAcentral
AGAACGAACGCUGGCGGCGUGGAUAAGACAUGCAAGUCGAACGGGACAUUGUGAGUAGCAAUACGAGCGAUGUCUAGUGGCGAACGGGUGCGUAACACGUGGAUACAUUCCGGGAAGCGGGGGAUAGCCCAGGGAAACUUGGAUUAAUACCGCAUGUGGUCGAAAGACUAAAGGCAGGGACCGCAAGGCCUGCCACUUCCCGAUUGGUCCGCGGCCUAUCAGCUAGUUGGCGGGGUAAAAGCCCACCAAGGCUACGACGGGUAGCUGGUCUUAGAGGACGACCAGCCACACUGGAACUGAGACACGGUCCAGACACCUACGGUGGCAGCAGUCGAGAAUCUUUCACAAU